GAUGAACGCUGGCGGCGUGCCUAAUACACGCAAGUCGAGCGAAUGGAUUAAGAGCUUGCUCUUAUGAAGUUAGCGGCGGACGGGUGAGUAACACGUGGGUAACCUGCCCAUAAGACUGGGAUAACUCCGGGAAACCGGGGCUGAUACCGGAUAACAUUUUGAACCGCAUGGUUCGAAAUUGAAAGGCGGCUUCGGCUGUCACUUAUGGAUGGACCCGCGUCGCAUUAGCUAGUUGGUGAGGUAACGGCUCACCAAGGCAACGAUGCGUAGCCGACCUGAGAGGGUGAUCGGCCACACUGGGACUGAGACACGGCCCAGACUCCUACGGGAGGCAGCAGUAGGGAAUCUUCCGCAAUGGACGAAAGUCUGACGGAGCAACGCCGCGUGAGUGAUGAAGGCUUUCGGGUCGUAAAACUCUGUUGUUAGGGAAGAACAAGUGCUAGUUGAAUAAGCUGGCACCUCGACGGUACCUAACCAGAAAACCACGGCUAACUACGUGCCAGCCGCCGCAGUAA
RNAcentral lists this ribosomal RNA (515 nucleotides) under uncultured bacterium. RNAcentral describes it as "partial 16S ribosomal RNA". It matches the Rfam family "Bacterial small subunit ribosomal RNA", at positions 28 to 523 of the family's 1533-position model. The record is from RNAcentral.